Molecule: unclassified non-coding RNA, 950 nt
Filed under: Hevea brasiliensis (rubber tree)
Lineage: Eukaryota; Viridiplantae; Streptophyta; Magnoliopsida; Malpighiales; Euphorbiaceae
Source: RNAcentral
AUAACAAAUUCUCUCCUUGAUGUUUAGUCCAUCAUCCAUUCCUGUUACUCGAAGGUAUAUCAAUCUAUAAAACCAAAAUAAAGCAGUGGCUGAGAGGAACAAUUGGCAAGCAGAGGAGGGGGAGGAGGAGGGCCACAGAGAUUAUAAAAUAGGAAAUAUAUCAUAUGACCAACAAACAGAUAUAAUUCUGUUAUCAAAAUUAAACAUGUAAAAUUAAAAUUGUCAAGCAUCUUGUUACAGCUCCAAGUUGCCAAAAUCAAAGGGAAAGUGUUGAGAAGGUCUAGUGAAAAUUUUAAUUUAUUACUAUGUGAUUUUGUCAGUUCAAAGAACGUCAGUCAAGGCAGAGAGAAAAAAUAUAAGAUAACAGCCAACUUCAGUAAGGCCUGAGAUAAAACUGGGUGGCAAAGAUGAAAAUAUACAACAAUCAUAGUGGAGUCAAAUUGAAACCUCACUGAUGCAUUUCCUAUGUGCUUGAGAAAAAUAGGAUAUAAAAUCAGUAUUAUGACUUUCCAUACUACUUGGAAAAAGUGAAUACCAUGGCUGUAAGAUUAUUUGAUCGGCCAGGUCAGACACAAACAUUGCAUAGUUGCUGGCCCUGGUGAUCAGAAAAUGAAACAUGCAAUGCAAGCAUGGGUAAUUAAAAGUAGGCAAUGCCGAUCAAAUUGUUGCGGCAUACUAUUACCCUCACCAUUACUAAGGACACUCAAAUGUUUUUAACUUGGACUUUCUUUUUUCUUUCUCUAGCCUGUUGUAUGUACACAAAAGCGUCAGGAUCCCUUAAACAGAUGUUUAAUACCUGUGCCAUGCUUGCUCAUAGCUGAAAAUUGAACUUUUUACCAGUUUCACUGUAGGAGCCUCAGUGGUGCCAUCACUUCGUUGUAAAGCGGAUAUGAAGGAUUCUUCACUUUUACUGCUUGUGUAAACAAUGAGAGGCUUAGCCUGAUAUUUUA